RNAcentral lists this ribosomal RNA (385 nucleotides) under uncultured bacterium. RNAcentral's name for it is "bacterial SSU rRNA". It matches the Rfam family "Bacterial small subunit ribosomal RNA", at positions 355 to 757 of the family's 1533-position model. The record is from RNAcentral.
UCGGGAAUUUUGGGCAAUGGGCGAAAGCCUGACCCAGCAACGCCGCGUGAAGGAUGAAGUAUUUCGGUAUGUAAACUUCGAAAGAAUGGGAAGAAUAAAUGACGGUACCAUUUAUAAGCUCCGGCUAACUACGUGCCAGCAGCCGCGGUAAUACGUAGGGAGCAAGCGUUGUUCGGAUUUACUGGGCGUAAAGGGCGCGUAGGCGGCAAUUCAAGUCAUCUGUGAAAUCUCCGGGCUUAACUCGGAACGGUCAGAUGAUACUGUCUUGCUAGAGUGCAGAAGGGGCAAUCGGAAUUCUUGGUGUAGCGGUGAAAUGCGUAGAUAUCAAGAGGAACACCUGAGGUGAAGACGGGUUGCUGGGCUGACACUGACGCUGAGGCGCGAA